RNAcentral lists this ribosomal RNA (430 nucleotides) under uncultured bacterium. RNAcentral's name for it is "partial 16S ribosomal RNA". It matches the Rfam family "Bacterial small subunit ribosomal RNA", at positions 338 to 795 of the family's 1533-position model. The record is from RNAcentral.
CCUACGGGAGGCUGCAGUGGGGAAUAUUGGACAAUGGGCGCAAGCCUGAUCCAGCCAUGCCGCGUGAGUGACGAAGGCCUUAGGGUUGUAAAGCUCUUUUGGCGGGGAAGCGGUACCCGCAGAAUAAGCUCCGGCUAACUUCGUGCCAGCAGCCGCGGUAAUACGAAGGGAGCUAGCGUUGUUCGGAAUCACUGGGCGUAAAGCGCACGUAGGCGGAUGUGUCAGUCAGGGGUGAAAUCCCGGAGCUCAACUUCGGAACUGCCCUUGAUACAGCACAUCUCGAGUCCGAGAGAGGUGAGUGGAAUUCCUAGUGUAGAGGUGAAAUUCGUAGAUAUUAGGAAGAACACCAGUGGCGAAGGCGGCUCACUGGCUCGGACUGACGCUGAGGUGCGAAGCGUGGGGAGCAACAGGAUUAGAUACCCUUGUAGUC